GGCUUGGGAAUUAAAUCAGCAGUAGCAUAGGCAAGACCCAUUUUAAAACCAGCUGGGCUACACAGGAUAAGAGAGGUCAUCAGAAAUGUUCCAGGAUUCUCCCUGUUCUCAUCACUCGUCGACUCCAGUUCCACAGCCUCACAAAACAUCCUUAGAACUUGCUGAACAGAGAAAAGUUCUGAAGGACAGAUCUGGCUUCAGAUGAAGCUUUGUUAAGACAGACAUGAAAGCAGGAGGGAGAAGCAAUUGCAGAGUCGCUAACACAUAUGUGGCAAUGGCCCUGUGUCCUGAAAGAUGCCAGUUCUGUAUUGGGGGCGGGGAGGUUUCUGUAAGAGACUGUUUGUGUGAAUGAGGAAUGCAUGCAUCAGUAAAGAUAAGGUGUCGCAAAUAUCGCAAAUGUCCAAAUGGUCAAGGAAAAAGUGAGAGACUUGGAAAGACCAGGAGACAAUCAGAAAACAUCCAUUGUAUCAGAUGCUAAACAUGUUACAGCACUGAGGACCUCAGAGGUGAGGCAGGCACCCCCUAAGGCGAGACAACAAAUAGGAGAUAACGAUGGGAAGCCUGACAAUAACUUCAAAUGAUAACAGCAGAAAACCCCAAGAUUAAUGCCACUUAAGAACUAAUGAUUACAGGAUGACAUUGCAAAAUGCCUGGACUCAAAUGGAAAUUUACAACUAUAAAGAUUGGGGGUUUUGCCAUGGAACUCUGGGUUCAGUCCUGCAAAGCAUCGAAUCACGACCGACAGAGCCCAGCUCCUCACUCGUGCUCGUCUAA
Molecule: long non-coding RNA, 774 nt
Organism: Dermochelys coriacea (leatherback sea turtle)
Lineage: Eukaryota; Metazoa; Chordata; Testudines; Dermochelyidae
Exons: 3
Source: RefSeq, a predicted model, not a curated record